This 216-nucleotide ribosomal RNA is filed under the name Glomeromycotina sp. RNAcentral's name for it is "partial small subunit ribosomal RNA". The stretch from base 75 to 216 matches the Rfam family "Eukaryotic small subunit ribosomal RNA", at positions 721 to 864 of the family's 1831-position model. Lineage: Eukaryota; Fungi; Glomeromycota. The record is from RNAcentral.
GGGUCAGUAGGUUGGUCGUGCCACCGGUACGUUCUGGUAUCACUGAUUCCUCCUUCCUGAAGAACCGUAACGCCAUUAAUUUGGUGUUGCGGGGAAACAGGACUGUUACUUUGAAAAAAUUAGAGUGUUUAAAGCAAGCUAACGCUUGAAUACAUUAGCAUGGAAUAAUGAAAUAGGACGAUCGAUCCUAUUUUGUUGGUUUCUAGGAUCGACGUA